Molecule: ribosomal RNA, 300 nt
Filed under: uncultured archaeon
Lineage: Archaea
Description: partial 16S ribosomal RNA
Rfam family: Bacterial small subunit ribosomal RNA
Source: RNAcentral
GCUACUACCUGCCCACCACCCAGGGUCAUACUGAGGGUGCAACCGAUAAUCGUAAUCACGAGCCGUAAAUCGUAGUGAGGAGGUUCGGUAAGGCUCUUGUGAAAGCGCCCGGCUCAACUGGGAGAGACCAAGGGAAACUACCGGGCUGGAGUGUGGUAGAGGAAGCUAGAAUUCCCGGUGUAGCGGUGAAAUGCGUAGAUAUCGGGAGGAAUACCUAUGGCGAAAGCAGGCUUCUGGACCAUCACUGACGCUGAGCUGCGAAAGCUAGGGGAGCAAACAGGAUUUGAUACCCGAGUAGUC